AUAUUUACUUGGUGUCGAGGUCAACCGUGAUCAUCGAGUCGGUUCCUCUAGGUCCUAGAGUCUAGGACGAUAUCGUUCCAUUGCAGCACAUCGGGACGGUCGACUCCUGCGACUAUUCCAAAUAGGAAUAUCUCGGACACGUAAUUUUUUGUAGCGGGACUGCGUUCGCGCCGUCCCUG
RNAcentral lists this small nuclear RNA (179 nucleotides) under Acyrthosiphon pisum (pea aphid). RNAcentral describes it as "U1 spliceosomal RNA". It matches the Rfam family "U1 spliceosomal RNA". Rfam says of the family: U1 is a small nuclear RNA (snRNA) component of the spliceosome (involved in pre-mRNA splicing). Its 5' end forms complementary base pairs with the 5' splice junction, thus defining the 5' donor site of an intron. There are significant differences in sequence and secondary structure between metazoan and yeast U1 snRNAs, the latter being much longer (568 nucleotides as compared to 164 nucleotides in human). The record is from Rfam by way of RNAcentral. Lineage: Eukaryota; Metazoa; Arthropoda; Insecta; Hemiptera; Aphididae.